GAUGAACGCUGGCGGCGUGCCUAAUACAUGCAAGUCGAGCGAACGGACGAGAGGCUUGCUUUUCUGAUGUUAGCGGCGGACGGGUGAGUAACACGUGGAUAACCUACCUAUAAGACUGGGAUAACUUCGGGAAACCGGAGCUAAUACCGGAUAAUAUUUUGAACCGCAUGGUUCAAAAGUGAAAGACGGUCUUGCUGUCACUUAUAGAUGGAUCCGCGCUGCAUUAGCUAGUUGGUAAGGUAACGGCUUACCAAGGCAACGAUGCAUAGCCGACCUGAGAGGGGGAUCGGCCACACUGGAACUGAGACACGGUCCAGACUCUUACGGGAGGCAGCAGUAGGGAAUCUUCCGCAAUGGGCGAAAGCCUGACGGAGCAACGCCGCGUGAGUGAUGAAGGUCUUCGGAUCGUAAAACUCUGUUAUUAGGGAAGAACAUAUGUGUAAGUAACUGUGCACAUCUUGACGGUACCUAAUCAGAAAGCCACGGCUAACUACGUG
RNAcentral lists this ribosomal RNA (497 nucleotides) under uncultured bacterium. Its description in RNAcentral is "partial 16S ribosomal RNA". It matches the Rfam family "Bacterial small subunit ribosomal RNA", at positions 28 to 507 of the family's 1533-position model. The record is from RNAcentral.